GUUCGCCGUGAAAGGCCGUGCGCUUGUUAGCCUAAGCCGGACGAUUGAAGUUUUGAUAAAUGUUGAAGUGUUGUGCAUAUUGAAACGCUUAUCUUUUAUUUUCUAUUAUUAAACGCUUUCUAUUAUUUUGAUUUCCGCUGCUUUAUUUCAUUUUUUUUUGUUUUGAUUCGUGCGUUCCAAGGCUGAGUAAAGCGAAGCAAACAGUGCGCUACGAAAGAAACUUGCGGGAGGGGAUGUCAGUGCAGCGCAGCGCAACUCGUAAGAAUCAAAAGGGAGGGGGAACCAAUCCAGCGCAGUCCCUAUGAGACUGGGACAAAAGUGCAGGCGGUCAUCGAGAUACACGGUUAAUGGGGACCGAAAACGGCCGCAAAAUACCGCGUAUCAGGAAUUUCCGCAUUCGAUCAAAAGGGAAAUUAAUUAGCAUUUGACAAUGGAUGUGUCAAAUCAGCCUUCCGUCUUGCCGUCUUACCGUCUUCCCUCCCGCUCCAGCUGCUGGUACUUUGAUGAGCUGUCGUAGGCGCGGUAACAGCCUGAAGCGCAAAGCUUUGGGACCGCUCGAUGCCGUUCCUGCAACUACCGCUGCUAACCAGGCUGUCGUUCCCGUUGUGGACCCGGUUGUCGUUUCAGCUGAAGAAUCCGUCCCAUUCUCCGUAGUGGAGAAAUUGUUCACGGAAUUCGCGAUCGUCCGGUCUAAGCUGGAUCGAUUGGACGAAUCCGUCGAGGGGAUACGGGGGGAGCAAAAGAAGCAUCAUGCUGAAAUAUCAAGCAAAAUUUCGGCCAUCGCCAAGUCGGUGCACCUGGUCCGAAGUGCAGGUGGGGCAGAUCAAAAAAUCGUUCUGUGUUGGCCAAGAUGGCUAUGCUCCUCCUCUCCGAGGGCUUUACACUUACGCCCGUCACAACGGAGGAUGAGCUAAAUGCUUUAGAGCAGAAGCUGGGCGAUGCUGAGUGUAUGCGGGAUAGCUUAGCUUGGCUGCAGGCUAAGGUGUUCGACUCCGAGACACAAAAAACCCUAGACGAAGCAAGGAAUUUUUGCCUCGCUACAGCUGGAGCGGGAGCAAUGCAAAAGUUGCUAAAAAAUAUAUAGCAACAUUUUGCAGCUUUUUAAGAAGAUUGGGAGCACCAAUAAAGUUAUAAUAGCUCUCGGAUUUGCUCGAGAUUAUUUCGGGAAAAAAUUGCGGUACGCGUAUCAACUCGUGCCAAAAAAAACCGAACCCUGUAGAGGAUGGUGACGGUGGGCACAAUUUAAAUAUAAUUUAGCUUAUAUUAAUUUAGUCUAGUUAAGUAUUGAUUAGAUAGCUAUAGGUGACCAAUUAAGCUUAGUAAGUUGAGGUUUGCAUAGCAUAGGUAAGCAUCGUUUAGCAUAAUUUGUUAUUAAAGCUGAAUUGAACAAUUAAAACACGUAAAAAACUUGUUUGAUUUCAUAACGAA
Molecule: long non-coding RNA, 1428 nt
Organism: Anopheles gambiae (African malaria mosquito)
Lineage: Eukaryota; Metazoa; Arthropoda; Insecta; Diptera; Culicidae
Exons: 2
Source: RefSeq, a predicted model, not a curated record